Molecule: ribosomal RNA, 172 nt
Filed under: uncultured soil bacterium
Lineage: Bacteria
Description: partial 16S ribosomal RNA
Rfam family: Bacterial small subunit ribosomal RNA
Source: RNAcentral
ACUCCUACGGGAGGCAGCAGUAGGGAAUUUUCCACAAUGGGCGAAAGCCUGAUGGAGCAACGCCGCGUGCAGGAUGAAUGUCUUCGGAUUGUAAACUGCUUUUAUCUGUGACGAAUAUGACGGUAGCAGAUGAAUAAGGAUCGGCUAACUCCGUGCCAGCAGCCGCGGUAAU